This is a non-coding RNA of Oncorhynchus mykiss (rainbow trout), 1982 nucleotides long. NCBI's taxonomy places the organism in Eukaryota, Metazoa, Chordata, Actinopteri, Salmoniformes, Salmonidae. The record is from RefSeq and is a predicted model, not a curated record.
GUCAAUAGUAAAUCCCAGUGGAUUAAUACCUGUGAUUACUAUUAAUAUAGGGUGAGUCCCGGAAGGUAAACUCACGCAGGCUGGAACCUGCGAAGGGUGAGUCCUAGGGGGUAAAUACCAGCGGGGUUGGUUCCCUGUAUAGCUACAACGGGGUGAGAGCCUAGUUGUAUUGGCCAUAAAAGUGUGAAUGGAAGGUUAGUUGUGUGCCCUGUUGGGGUGGUGAACCAUGGCAGAUUAUGUGGAAAUAGGAAGACAAAUGUGAAUAAUUUUGGUGAAGUAUUAUCAAUAAUAGGGAUAUUGGAGGAGAUACGGCACAAAGACAUUAAGAAAUCCGUAUUCUCCAGUAAUAGAUUCGCAGACGUUUCUGGUAUCGGUUUUUGAAUGAUUAUCCGGGGAAGUGUGUAGUGCUAUCUUAGGAAAUAGUGAAUAGAUGGUGUGUAUAAUCGACAGGAGUUAAGGAAUCUAAGAUACCCUGAAUACCGUCGGGUAUCUAUUGAUAUGGCGACAAACGAACCCGUUUCUCCCUGUAAUAUAGAGAUAGCGGAAUAGAAUAAAGCUAUGGAGGUGCUAAAAGAAGCACACGAGCAUUCUACCAAUUCGGCUGGAAUAUGGGAAAAAUUUAGCAAAUUAGAUAAAAUUGGACAAUAUUUUCCUUCUGACGGUGAAUUCAAAUCAAAUAAAGAAUGCAGGGAGGCAAUUAUGACUUGGCACAAGGACAUAAAAACAGAAUCAAAAACGUAAUAUACCCGUGUUUUAAUGUCAGCAUUCUAUCAACAGAAAAUGCGUAAACCCAUAAAGUGUAACACCAGUACUUUACUACAGAAGGCCUGGGAACGGGAGUGUAUUGAAAAAAAAUUGCGCUUCUGCUUUAAUGACGGGGUUGAACCCUCAAAACAGUAAUUGCGGGGGUAGUAGAUUUAAUUCAAGACAAUGUUUUGAGAGUGGAAUAUGACUCCGCUCACCUUGCAGACGUGCCAGGGGUUAAUAAGGCCAUAGAGGAAAUGGCUAACAACAGUUUCAAUGGCCAGGAUAAAACUAAGAAACGUAGCGAAAAAAAAUCAAAACGUAAGGAGACAGCUCCCUGUUUUAGAUGUGGGACUAUCGGGCAUUGGAAGAAUGAGUUUAAGGUGAUACUGGAACCUAGUGCAUUAGCAUAUCACUUUAUGACGACUCAUGUGACAUGGAUUGGUUAUUGGUAACUGGGGGACCAAUGGGAGGACAGAGGAUGCUGUUAUUCAAAUAUUACAAAUUAUGUUUGUCAGGAAAUAACCCAUGUGUUACAGUGUGCAUAUCCUCAGUUAUAUCUUGGUUCCACCUAAGGGCACGGGCUGAAUUCUGGAGAUUGAGUGUACAUCAAGAGACAUCAGGCGGGGGUGUUGAGCAUUGAUUUGAGAGACACACUACUUCGAACAGUACCUGCAGUGGUUAAGAUCGUCAUGUCUCUCCUUGGGGGGUGCAUAGUUUGCACGUGAAGUGAGGUCCAACUGCAUAAUGGGUCCCUCCAUGCUCUCCCUCGACUCCCAUGAACACCUGUGUCCCCCCAUCCCACUCACGCGCCCCUUCACCUACUCCUCACCCAAUCUUGGCACCAAGGAUCCAAUUCGGGAAAGUCGCAUUCCUAGUCGUAAUGCUGGUGAGUUACCGCCACUGAUAUCCAAAAGUUAUUUCCGGCUGCAAAGUUGCUUCGGAGCUAGAAGCAGAUCUGCCAUAUCUGUUGGCGCCAUCUUCAUAAAUAUAGGAGCUGGGUCGAAUCAAGGUGCCGAAGACAGGCUCCUUCAUGACCAGUAUCUGUGACGAGACGAGCCUGGAGCUGAUCUACGCUGCAAUGCCCAACAGGCGUUGGCAAACACCUCCGAAGUGACAAAAGAUGGAGGACAGAAGAGCUGCUUUUGUCAUGGAGUCCUCUUAUUGAAAGACUGGUUGAUACUGAUGUAUGAAUUGGGAGAGAGCUUUCACUCAGCAUUAAAAUUGAACUAGACGCA